AGAACACCAAAAGAAUUUGUUUGGAUAGACGUGCAGACUAGAUUAAUCAUUGUCAAGUUUGCUCAUCCAUUUUAGCUCUUUGAUCGCUAAGGUAACCAACAGUAAGUCUUG
This is a long non-coding RNA of Erigeron canadensis, 111 nucleotides long. RefSeq lists it as uncharacterized. The transcript has 3 exons. NCBI's taxonomy places the organism in Eukaryota, Viridiplantae, Streptophyta, Magnoliopsida, Asterales, Asteraceae. The record is from RefSeq and is a predicted model, not a curated record.